This 425-nucleotide ribosomal RNA is filed under the name Verrucomicrobiota bacterium. RNAcentral's name for it is "Verrucomicrobia bacterium partial 16S ribosomal RNA". It matches the Rfam family "Bacterial small subunit ribosomal RNA", at positions 355 to 776 of the family's 1533-position model. The record is from RNAcentral. Lineage: Bacteria; Pseudomonadati; Verrucomicrobiota.
UGAGGAAUAUUGGUCAAUGGGCGAGAGCCUGAACCAGCCACGUCGCGUGAAGGAAGACUGACCUUACGGUUUGUAAACUUCUUUUGUAGAGGGGUAAUGGCAGAUACGUGUAUUUGCGUGAAAGUACUCUACGAAUAAGCAUCGGCUAACUCCGUGCCAGCAGCCGCGGUAAUACGGGGGAUGCGAGCGUUAUCCGGAAUUAUUGGGUUUAAAGGGUGCGUAGGUGGCUGAUUAAGUCAGUGGUGAAAAGCUAUGGCUCAACCAUAGUCUUGCCGUUGAUACUGGUUAGCUUGAGUGUAGAUGAUGUAGGCGGAACGUGUAGUGUAGCGGUGAAAUGCAUAGAUAUUACGCAGAACUCCGAUUGCGAAGGCAGCUUACAAAACUACUACUGACACUGAGGCACGAAAGCGUGGGUAUCAAACAGG